Molecule: ribosomal RNA, 460 nt
Filed under: uncultured bacterium
Lineage: Bacteria
Description: partial 16S ribosomal RNA
Rfam family: Bacterial small subunit ribosomal RNA
Source: RNAcentral
CCUACGGGAGGCAGCAGUGAGGAAUAUUGGUCAAUGGACGAGAGUCUGAACCAGCCAAGUAGCGUGAAGGAUGACUGCCCUAUGGGUUGUAAACUUCUUUUAUAUGGGAAUAAAACGUUCCACGUGUGGGAUUUUGUAUGUACUAUGUGAAUAAGGAUCGGCUAACUCCGUGCCAGCAGCCGCGGUAAUACGGAGGAUCCGAGCGUUAUCCGGAUUUAUUGGGUUUAAAGGGAGCGUAGGUGGGUUGUUAAGUCAGUUGUGAAAGUGUGCGGCUCAACCGUAAAAUUGCAAUUGAGACUGGCAGUCUUGAGUACAGUAGAGGUGGGCAGAAUUCGUGGUGUAGCGGUGAAAUGCUUAGAUAUCACGAAGAACUCCGAUUGCGAAGGCAGUUCACUGGACUGCCACUGACACUGAGGCUCGAAAGUGUGGGUAUCAAACAGGAUUAGAUACCCCUGUAGUC